GUGAGUCAUCGAAUCUUUGAACGCACCUUGCGCUCCUUGGUAUUCCGAGGAGCAUGCCUGUUUGAGUGUCAUGAAACCCUCAAACCCAAGUUUUGGAUUUCGAUCCAUGCUUGAGUUUGGAUUUGGAUGUUUGCCGGUGAUGAACCGACUCAUCUUAAAAGUAUUAGCUUGGAUCUGUCUAUAUGACUGGUUUGACUUGGCAUAAUAAGUAUUUUGCUGAGGACAUCCUCGGAUGGCCAGGACCUAGACUACUGUCUGCUAACUAAACCAUCACUUUAAGUGCAUCUUUGGAUGUUACUCAUUGUGUAACUUUGACAUCUGGCCUCAAAUCAAGUAGGACUACCCGCUGAACUUAAGCAUAUCAAUAAG
RNAcentral lists this ribosomal RNA (369 nucleotides) under Filobasidium magnum. Its description in RNAcentral is "eukaryotic LSU rRNA". The stretch from base 1 to 71 matches the Rfam family "5.8S ribosomal RNA", at positions 84 to 154 of the family's 154-position model. The record is from RNAcentral. Lineage: Eukaryota; Fungi; Basidiomycota; Tremellomycetes; Filobasidiales; Filobasidiaceae.